GAGUUUGAUCCUGGCUCAGGAUGAACGCUGGCGGCGUGCCUAAUACAUGCAAGUCGAGCGAACUUAACUAAAUGAAUGCGGUGCUUGCACCAAGUGAUUUUAGAGCGGUGAGCGGCGGAUGGGUGAGUAACACGUGGGUAACCUGCCUCUAAGCAGGGGAUAACAUUUGGAAACAGAUGCUAAUACCGUAUAAAUCCUCAAACCACAUGGUUUNAGGCUGAAAGGCGCCUUCGGCUGUCAUUUAGAGAUGGACCCGCGCCGUAUCAGCUAGUUGGUGAGGUAAUGGCUCACCAAGGCAAUGAUAUCGUAGCCGAACUGAGAGGUUGAUCGGCCACAUUGGGACUGAGACACGGCCCAAACUCAUACGGGAGGCAGCAGUAGGGAAUCUUCCACAAUGGACGCAAGUCUGAUGGAGCAACGCCGCGUGAGUGAAGAAGGCUUUCGGGUCGUAAAACUCUGUUGUUGAAGAAGAACACGUUUGAGAGUAACUGUUCAGACGUUGACGGUAUUCAACCAGAAAGCCACGGCUAACUACGUGCCAGCAGCCGCGGUAAUACGUAGGUGGCAAGCGUUAUCCGGAUUUAUUGGGCGUAAAGCGAGCGCAGGCGGUUUUUUAAGUCUGAUGUGAAAGCCCUCGGCUUAACCGAGGAAGUGCAUCGGAAACUGGGAAACUUGAAUGCUGAAGAGGACAGUGGAACUCCAUGUGUAGCGGUGAAAUGNGUAGAUAUAUGGAAGAACCCCAGUGGNGAAGGCGGCGGUCUGGUCAGUUAUUGACGCUGAGGCUCGAAAGCAUGGGUAGCGACCAGGAUUAGAUACCCUGGUAGUCCAUGCCGUAAACGAUGAAUACUAGGUGUUGGAGGGUUUCCCCCCUUCAGUGCCGCAGCUAACGCAUUAAGUAUUCCGCCUGGGGAGUACGACCGCAAGGUUGAAACUCAAAAGGAAUUGACGGGGGCCCGCACAAGCGGUGGAGCAUGUGGUUUAAUUCGAAGCAACGCGAAGAACCUUACCAGGUCUUGACAUCUUCUGCUAUUUCUAGAGAUAGAAAGUUCCCUUCGGGGACGGAAUGACAGGUGGUGCAUGGUUGUCGUCAGCUCGUGUCGUGAGAUGUUGGGUUAAGUCCCGCAACGAGCGCAACCCUUAUGACUAGUUGCCAGCAUUAAGUUGGGCACUCUAGUAAGACUGCCGGUGACAAACCGGAGGAAGGUGGGGACGACGUCAAAUCAUCAUGCCCCUUAUGACCUGGGCUACACACGUGCUACAAUGGUUGGUACAACGAGUUGCGAACCCGCGAGGGCAAGCUAAUCUCUUAAAGCCAAUCUCAGUUCGGACUGUAGGCUGCAACUCGCCUACACGAAGUCGGAAUCGCUAGUAAUCGCGGAUCAGCAUGCCGCGGUGAAUACGUUCCCGGGCCUUGUACACACCGCCCGUCACACCAUGAGAGUUUGUAACACCCAAAGCCGGUGGGGCAACCCUUCGGGGAGCUAGCCGUCUAAGGUGGGACAGAUGAUU
This 1509-nucleotide ribosomal RNA is filed under the name Lacticaseibacillus thailandensis. Its description in RNAcentral is "Lactobacillus thailandensis 16S ribosomal RNA". It matches the Rfam family "Bacterial small subunit ribosomal RNA". Lineage: Bacteria; Bacillati; Bacillota; Bacilli; Lactobacillales; Lactobacillaceae. The record is from RNAcentral.